GUAACUUCUCUGUUCUCUUCCUGGUUUCUUCUCUGUGUAUCAUGAGCCAAAUUUUUCCCGUUGUCAAUGCAUAUUGGUGGCUGAGGAUAACAAGCCAUUCUUGUUCAAAUGGGUAUUCCAGUAGUUCUUCACCUCGUUAUCAGUUCGACCAGGAAGCCGACCAGCAAUCAAUGACCAUCUGAUUCAAGAAGUAACACGUUGAAAAUAUCCAAACAUUCAGCAAGUUAUCUCUCUUUACUGUUGGUGACAAUACAUUUACAGGGUGCAAUGAUGACAACUAUGAUUGGAUUCUUCCUAUAUAUGACAGCAAAAUGGGCACCCAGCACUGUCAAAUAUUACUCGCAGAAUGUUGAAAUGGUGGGCCACGCAUGCAUCAUCAUUGCUCUCUUUGCGCUGGCAGAUUGACGUGCGGGCCCUGGUUUGCUAAAAGCGUAUCUGCCUGCUUCUCAAUCAAGACAGGGCAUGGACACAAUAAGAACAGUAAAAGAAGAAGAAGAUAGAAUGACGACAAUGAAAUUUUGGACCCUUUGAUUUUGAUUGUCGGUGAAGUGAAGGAGGCUUAAGUAUUUAGCAAGCGUUCAUGAGUGAGGCACUCGGAGAAAAACAAUGCAGCAGCAGCAGCAGCAGCUUUUGUUGGGGGAAGCAAGCAGGCGAUUGGGUACAGGUUUGAAAAGAGAAAUAAUUGAAGUGUUCUGUGUGUCAUUGGCAGGCAUUGGCUGCAACAGGGCGCUAUUGUAAAGAUUCCACAUCCAUUCAUCUACACUGUGCUGCCCUCCCCUGCCCUGCCCUCAUCACUCUCAGCUUUUUCCUUUUGCAUAUCUGCCUGUCUCAUGCUUCUCCACCAGGUACACGCACACUCCCUCCCUACACACUCGUUUCACUCUUUCCACUUAUCUUUGGCGUUUCCAAAUUGUCCAUUAAUAAGAGCUUUUGUCUGUUUUUUACUUCGUUUUUUUGUCAAGGGGAAGGGAUUUUGUUAACUCUUUCUUGGUUAAAAGCUAAAAAUUUUGGUCGUUUGAACUUUCAAAUUUGUGUCUAAUAAGUCCUAAAUUUUAAAUUUACUAUCCUUUGGGUGGAAAAGGUUCUUUUAACUUUUAAAAUGCCUAAUAGUUUCUUAAACUUUUAGUUGUGUGUUGUUUGAUGGGUGUGUGAAGGAUUAACUACGUUCUUGUUUUUUGGUUUUUCUUGGUGUGGUAAGAAAAAACGUGUUUGAAUGAUUUGUACACAAAAAUAUUACAUGAAACAACUAUCGGAAAUGUCUACUAAUUUCUGAUAGAUGGUUAGAUGUUUUAAUAUUAUCACUCAUUUUUUUAUCGAACUCGAGAAAGAAUUAAAAUACAUGACAAGGUU
This is a long non-coding RNA of Cucurbita pepo subsp. pepo (vegetable marrow), 1350 nucleotides long. RefSeq lists it as uncharacterized. The record is from RefSeq and is a predicted model, not a curated record. NCBI's taxonomy places the organism in Eukaryota, Viridiplantae, Streptophyta, Magnoliopsida, Cucurbitales, Cucurbitaceae.